This 640-nucleotide long non-coding RNA is filed under the name Marmota monax (woodchuck). Lineage: Eukaryota; Metazoa; Chordata; Mammalia; Rodentia; Sciuridae. The record is from RNAcentral.
CAUGAUUUUUCUAGAGAUGUUAGUAGGCUGUGCACUAGGAACUUGAGUCCUUCUUGGUGGGAAGAGUCAGAACACAAAACCAGGAACUGUUUAGCCUGAUCAGUAACUGACCAGGGAGCUCCAGGCCUCCUUCUUUGUUAUACUGUGUCUCCUGCUGCUCAAAUCCCACACUUACCUUUUUGAAGGAGCUGAAGGCUUCUUCCUGAGUCUGGCCCCUCCUUUGCUAUGUGAGUAGAAGAGGCUCCUAAUCUGCCAACAUGAGAAUGCUCCCCUGUUUCUUGGACCUCACUGCCUCCUGCUUACUUGGAUUUACUUACAGUCUUGAAGAAAUGGCAGGAACCAGUCACUCCCCAUGAGGUCUCUGAAAAAUCUCUGCAGGACUUCCAACAAAAUGUCCCUUCUGAUUUUUCAACUCACACCAGGAAACAUUAGUAGCUGAUAGGCUGCCCUCUCUUUUGGGGGAAAGGCAGUGUUCUAGAAUGAACGAAACGUUAAUGUUUUACCUCCUGGAGUUCUUAGAAGAGAGCAGUCUUGGGGGCUUGGAGAGGAGUGUGAAGGGGUGUGUGCGCCAGAGGUGCAUGGCAGAACCGGCCAGCCGAGGGCCUGUCUGAGGCAGCCAUGACACACUGCUCGCGGUGAG